UACGGAGGAUGCGAGCGUUAUCCGGAUUUAUUGGGUUUAAAGGGUGCGUAGGCGGAACAUUAAGUCAGCGGUCAAAUCGUGGGGCUCAACCCCAUCCAGCCGUUGAAACUGGGGAUCUAGAGUGUGCGAGAGGUAUGCGGAAUGCGUGGUGUAGCGGUGAAAUGCAUAGAUAUCACGCAGAACCCCGAUUGCGAAGGCAGCCUGCCGGCCCCACACUGACGCUGAGGCACGAAAGCGUGGGUAUCGAACAGG
Molecule: ribosomal RNA, 252 nt
Filed under: uncultured Bacteroidales bacterium
Lineage: Bacteria; Pseudomonadati; Bacteroidota; Bacteroidia; Bacteroidales
Description: partial 16S ribosomal RNA
Rfam family: Bacterial small subunit ribosomal RNA
Source: RNAcentral